This 523-nucleotide ribosomal RNA is filed under the name Sporosarcina aquimarina. RNAcentral describes it as "bacterial SSU rRNA". It matches the Rfam family "Bacterial small subunit ribosomal RNA", at positions 909 to 1431 of the family's 1533-position model. The record is from RNAcentral. Lineage: Bacteria; Bacillati; Bacillota; Bacilli; Caryophanales; Caryophanaceae.
AUUGACGGGGACCCGCACAAGCGGUGGAGCAUGUGGUUUAAUUCGAAGCAACGCGAAGAACCUUACCAGGUCUUGACAUCCCACUGACCGGCAUGGAGACAUGUCUUUCCCUUCGGGGACAGUGGUGACAGGUGGUGCAUGGUUGUCGUCAGCUCGUGUCGUGAGAUGUUGGGUUAAGUCCCGCAACGAGCGCAACCCUUAAUCUUAGUUGCCAUCAUUUAGUUGGGCACUCUAAGGUGACUGCCGGUGACAAACCGGAGGAAGGUGGGGAUGACGUCAAAUCAUCAUGCCCCUUAUGACCUGGGCUACACACGUGCUACAAUGGACGGUACAGAGGGCUGCAAACCCGCGAGGGGGAGCCAAUCCCAGAAAACCGUUCCCAGUUCGGAUUGUAGGCUGCAACUCGCCUGCAUGAAGCCGGAAUCGCUAGUAAUCGUGGAUCAGCAUGCCACGGUGAAUACGUUCCCGGGUCUUGUACACACCGCCCGUCACACCACGAGAGUUUGUAACACCCGAAGUCGGU